RNAcentral lists this ribosomal RNA (492 nucleotides) under uncultured bacterium. RNAcentral's name for it is "partial 16S ribosomal RNA". It matches the Rfam family "Bacterial small subunit ribosomal RNA", at positions 29 to 507 of the family's 1533-position model. The record is from RNAcentral.
AGUGAACGCUGGCGGUAGGCUUAACACAUGCAAGUCGAACGGCAGCACAGUAAGAGCUUGCUCUUACGGGUGGCGAGUGGCGGAUGGGUGAGGAAUACAUUGGAAUUUACUUUUUCGUGGGGGAUAACGUAGGGAAACUUACGCGAAUAUCGCAUACGACCUACGGGUGAAAGCAGGGGAUGUUCGGACCUUGCGCGAUUGAAUGAGCCGAUGUCGGAUUAGCUAGUUGGCGGGGUAAAGGCCCACCAAGGCGACGAUCCGUAGCUGGUCUGAGAGGAUGAUCAGCCACACUGGAACUUAGACACGGUCCAGACGCCUGCGGGAGGCAGCAGUGGGGAAUAUUGGACAAAGGGCGCAAGCCUGAUCCAGCCAUACCGCGUGUGUGAAGAAGGCCUUCGGGUUGUAAAGCCCUUUUGUUGGGAAAGAAAAGCAGCAGGUUAAUACCCCGCUGUUCUGACGGUACCCAAAGAAUAAGCACCGGCUAACUUCGUG